GGCCUCGUAGCUCAGUGGUUAGAGCACUAGUCUGUUAAAUCAGGGGUUGUGGGUUCGUAUCCCACUGGAGCCU
Non-coding RNA from Syngnathoides biaculeatus (alligator pipefish), 73 nucleotides. NCBI's taxonomy places the organism in Eukaryota, Metazoa, Chordata, Actinopteri, Syngnathiformes, Syngnathidae. The record is from the annotation of a RefSeq genome assembly.